CAAGUCGAACGGGAUUUUCCGGGUAGCAAUACUUGGGAAGUCCAGUGGCAAACGGGUGCGUAACACGUGAGCAAUCUGCCGGGAAGUGGGGGAUAGCUCGCCGAAAGGCGAAUUAAUACCGCAUGUGGCCAGGGGGGACAUCCUCCCGAAGCCAAAGUCGCAAGACGCUUCCUGAUGAGCUCGCGGCCUAUCAGCUUGUUGGCGGGGUAACGGCCCACCAAGGCUAUGACGGGUAGCUGGUCUGAGAGGACGACCAGCCACACUGGAACUGAGACACGGUCCAGACACCUACGGGUGGCAGCAGUCGAGAAUUUUUCACAAUGGGGGAAACCCUGAUGGAGCGACGCCGCGUGGAGGAUGAAGGUCUUCGGAUUGUAAACUCCUGUCAUGCGAGAACAAGAAAGUGAUAGUAUCGCAAGAGGAAGAGACGGCUAACUCUGUGCCAGCAGCCGCGGUAAUACAGAGGUCUCAAGCGUUGUUCGGAUUCAUUGGGCGUAAAGGGUGCGUAGGCGGCGUGGUAAGUUGAGUGUGAAAUCCUGGGGCUUAACCUCAGAACUGCACUCAAUACUGCCAUGCUCGAGGAAUGUAGAGGAGAGUGGAAUUCACGGUGUAGCAGUGAAAUGCGUAGAUAUCGUGAGGAAGACCAGUUGCGAAGGCGACUCUCUGGGCAUUUCCUGACGCUGAGGCACGAAGGCCAGGGGAGCAAACGGGAUUAGAUACCCCGGUAGUCCUGGCAGUAAACGGUGCACGUUUGGUGUGGGCGGGUUCAGACCCCGUCCGUGCCGGAGCUAACGCGUUAAACGUGCCGCCUGGGAAGUACGGUCGCAAGAUUAAAACUCAAAGAAAUUGACGG
This 853-nucleotide ribosomal RNA is filed under the name uncultured bacterium. Its description in RNAcentral is "bacterial SSU rRNA". It matches the Rfam family "Bacterial small subunit ribosomal RNA", at positions 58 to 916 of the family's 1533-position model. The record is from RNAcentral.